Molecule: ribosomal RNA, 253 nt
Filed under: uncultured bacterium
Lineage: Bacteria
Description: partial 16S ribosomal RNA
Rfam family: Bacterial small subunit ribosomal RNA
Source: RNAcentral
UACGUAGGGUGCAAGCGUUAAUCGGAAUUACUGGGCGUAAAGCGCACGCAGGCGGUUCGCCAAGUUUGGCGUGACAGUUGUCGGCUCAACCGACAAAGGACUUCAAAAACUGGUGAACUUGAGGACGAGAGAGGAACAUGGAACUCCAGGUGUAGUAGUGAAAUGCGUAGAUAUCUGGAAGAACACCAAAGGCGAAGGCAAUGUUCUGGCUCGUUUCUGACGCUCAGGUGCGAAAGCCAGGGGAGCGAACGGG